RNAcentral lists this ribosomal RNA (439 nucleotides) under uncultured eukaryote. RNAcentral's name for it is "bacterial SSU rRNA". It matches the Rfam family "Eukaryotic small subunit ribosomal RNA", at positions 629 to 1046 of the family's 1831-position model. The record is from RNAcentral.
CUUAAUUGAAUGGAGUAGCUAUCUUUCGGGGUGGUCAAUUGGUUGUUAUAUCUCCACUAAUGAGCGGAGAGGGGUAAAAACUCUCAAAGUAAGUUAUGUGGGUCAAGGUAUGGUGAUUAAUUGGAGUUCUAGUUCAUUUACUUUGAGAAAAUUAGAGUGUUUAAAGCAGCCUCUUGGGGCACUGAAUACAUUAGCAUGGGAUAAUAAAAUAGGAUCUUCACAAUAUAUUUUAUUGGUUUAAAUUGGAUAUGAAGAUAAUGAUUAAUAGGGACAGUUGGGGGUAUUCAUAUUGGGUGGUUAGCGGUGAAAUGCUCGGAUCCAUUCAAGAUGAACUAAAGCGAAGGCAUUUACCAAGGAUGUUUUCAUUAAUCAAGAACGAAAGUUAAGGGAUCGAAGACGAUUAGAUACCGUCGUAGUCUUAACUAUAAACUAUGCCGAC